This is a long non-coding RNA of Gadus macrocephalus (Pacific cod), 648 nucleotides long. RefSeq lists it as uncharacterized. The transcript is spliced from 2 exons. The record is from RefSeq and is a predicted model, not a curated record. Lineage: Eukaryota; Metazoa; Chordata; Actinopteri; Gadiformes; Gadidae.
AGGAUCUGUUUCUCAUUGAGGGCCAUGGUCUCUCCUCUCCUCUUCUUCACUUGGGUCUUCUGCAGCUUCUUGCAGGCGUACAUCUUCCCCGUGGCUCGCACCUGGCAUGCCCACACCUGUACACGACAACAGGAAGGAAGCGGUCAAAGAACAUGCUCUCCUGGUACUGGAGGAAUGGACCCCCACUCAGCUGCUUGUGGAGGUCUCUGAUCACACACACACACUGGACAUGAGCUGAGCAAGCAUAAACUACAGCAUACCUUCUCCCCCCUUUGUCUCUGGCUGCCUCGCUACCUCUAUCUCUGUCUCACUCUCCUUCUUUAUGUCUUAUUCUCUCUCUCUCUCUCUCUCUCUCUCUGUCUCUGUCUCUGUCUCUGUCUCAUUCUCUCUUUGUCUCUCUCUCCGUCUCUGUCUCAUUCUCUCUUUGUCUCUCUCUCCGUCUCUCGGUCUCGAUCUCUCUUUCUCUCUCCCUCCCUCUUAACCCUCUCGCUCUCUCUCUCUCCGUCUCUCUUUCACAUUCGCUCUUUCUCUCUCUCUCACUCUCCGUCUCUCUGUCCCAUUCUCUCUUUCUCUCACUCCCUCGCCUUUCCCUCUAUUGCCUUUUCUUUUUCUUUCUCUCCACCAUUCUUUCUGCCCAUCUCCCUCUCA